This 263-nucleotide ribosomal RNA is filed under the name uncultured bacterium. RNAcentral describes it as "partial 16S ribosomal RNA". It matches the Rfam family "Bacterial small subunit ribosomal RNA", at positions 1237 to 1500 of the family's 1533-position model. The record is from RNAcentral.
CAACAGAGGGAAGCAAAACAGCGACGUGGAGCAAACCCCUAAAAAACGUUCUCAGUUCAGAUUGCAGGCUGCAACCCGCCUGCAUGAAGUCGGAAUUGCUAGUAAUCGCGGAUCAGCAUGCCGCGGUGAAUACGUUCCCGGGCCUUGUACACACCGCCCGUCACACCAUGGGAGCCGGUAAUACCCGAAGUCAGUAGUCCAACCUCGUGAGGACGCUGCCGAAGGUAGGAUUGGCGACUGGGGUGAAGUCGUAACAAGGUACC